UUUGUGUUGUUGUAGCCGCAGCCUGGUGGUCUGGUGGACUAUGGUGGUAAGUAUAACUGUGCAGGGCAUCGGUGUUGUCGGCCUCGUAAUAUUGCAAUUCGUAUGUACGCUACAAGUAGUGUGUUGGGGGUGGUGUUGUUGUAGUCUGCUUGUGUUGUGUCUGACUGUCGUGUCGCCUGCGCAAAGUGGGCCCGGCUGUGGCGCAAUAUAAGGUAGGUUGCCAAUAUUGCCUUCUCAGUGCGAGUUGUAGUGGGCCAAAUAAUCAGUGGUGUAGUGGUAGACGAGCUACCCGACCCGUCUUGAAACACGGACCAAGGAGUUUAACAUGUAUGCAAGUCAUGGGGUCUUACGAAACCCAAAGGCGCAGUGAAAGUGAAGCUUCGACUUGUUCUCGAAGUGAGGUGAGAUCCUGUCGUUUCUCACGCCGAGCUAAUCAGCAUCAGGUUAAGAGCGGCAGGCGCAUCACCGGCCCGUCCCAUGAUGUGGUCAUUGGAUGUCUGCAGUUGUUGCUACUCUUGUGGUGGUGGCGGCUGUGGUGCCAGUGCAUCAUCGGGGCGGAGCAUGAGCAUACAUGUUGAGACCCGAAAGAUGGUGAACUAUGCUUGCGUAGGUUGAAGCCAGAGGAAACUCUGGUGGAGGACCGCAGCGAUUCUGACGUGCAAAUCGAUCGUCAAACGUGAGUAUAGGGGCGAAAGACUAAUCGAACCAUCUAGUAGCUGGUUCCCUCCGAAGUUUCCCUC
RNAcentral lists this ribosomal RNA (740 nucleotides) under Cathetocephalus badilloi. Its description in RNAcentral is "Cathetocephalus sp. b DIHM-2023 partial large subunit ribosomal RNA". It matches the Rfam family "Eukaryotic large subunit ribosomal RNA", at positions 482 to 974 of the family's 3401-position model. Lineage: Eukaryota; Metazoa; Platyhelminthes; Cestoda; Cathetocephalidea; Cathetocephalidae. The record is from RNAcentral.